This 7184-nucleotide long non-coding RNA is filed under the name Triticum aestivum (bread wheat). RNAcentral describes it as "long non-coding RNA (TAES_LNC025614)". Lineage: Eukaryota; Viridiplantae; Streptophyta; Magnoliopsida; Poales; Poaceae. The record is from RNAcentral.
GGGGAUCAAGAACGGAGUUACAAGUGAUGAUUUCAGGACUUUAAAGCCACCAUAAGGAGUGCAUGAAGCCUUGGACGAAAUAUACAAGAUGCCACUUCAUAAUAUUCGUCCAUAGGCUAUUCUAGGUGCUGCGUCACCUUAUUAAUGGGCCAGGCCCAUGUAAUUUCGAAAUACUUAAGUAUAGGCUAUUUUUAGAGUCCGUAUGUGUGGGGAAACAAGAGUUAGGGUUGGUUUCGGACCCCACCCUCAAGGGCCACGAAAUUCCCCCCUCUUCCUCCAUAUAUACAGCCCUUAGGGCGUCGUUUAGACUUCGGGAUUUGUUUAGUUAAAAGUUAGCCAUUGCAACUUCGUGUACUUCGUUUGUGUCCAACGACCAGACCAAGACUGCUUCGGAUCCCCACCAUUAUCAAUACUUCAUAUAUAUUCGCAAUAUUUAGAUUGCUUUAUCAUAUUCUUGCUCGUUCUUCGAUUGCUUGCAGGAAUAGACCUUCGUGGUCAGGAUGAUCAUGCUUCCAGCAUCGUCAGUAACCUCAGGAGAUUGGUUUAGCAAUUACUAAGGCGCAACGUCGUGCACGUUUGUAGUCGGAUCGUCAAAGUCGUCUCCACCAAAUCGAUAGUUAUCAUCUCAUCGAAAGAUCAGGACCCUCGCCUCUAUCAAGUGGUAUCAGAUUUCCAGGUUGCUCGGUGAGAUUUUACAGUUUUUCGUAGAUUAGAUCGAGUCUGUUCUUCAUACCUACAGUCCACGAAAAAGCCACAAAUUUUUUUUAGGGUUAGUUCAUCAUAUCCGAACCAAUCUGAGCCUUUGCAUAAUCUUUUUAGGGUUUUUGCUUUUAUUGAAUUUGCGGUUGCAUCGUCGUGUCAAGUUGCUGGUCUUAGAGUCUAGUCCUUUAGAGUUUCGAGUUCUGGUCAUAAGUUGUCAUGCCGCCGCCGCACCAUCAUCAUCGCCCAUCUACCACUUUUGCUUAUCCGCCACCGCUCUGAAUCCAUAUCCAUAUACCACCACCAAUCCGUAUCCAUAUACCACCACCAAUAUGUAUCCAUAUACCACCAGCGCUACCAUAUACCACCACCGCCGCCAUAUACCACAACCAUAUAUCCACCACCAAUCCGAGUUCUUCUCAUAUUAGGUUUGUUCUUGAGAUCAAUCUAAAUUCCGAUUCGUGUUUCUUUGCCUGCGUAGGUCUCGGAAAAAAAAAGAGUCUGGAGACCCCCGGGCAGUUUUUAGGCCAAAAUUUUCACGGGCAAAUUUUUUUCCCUAUCCUAUUUUUAGGCUUUUCUGAGUCUUUUGAGCCACGUGCCAUCAUAGUGAUUUUUUGUCGCACUUUUUCGUCGUCGCUGCCCUGAUUUCCGACAAAAAAAGUGAAAGAAAAAUUCGUGCCCAUCCUAUCAGUUUGACGAGGGAAGAGUUUUGAGACACUCGCCAUUAUAGUGAUUUUUCGCAAAAAAAAAAGAGCGCAAAAAAAGGAGCGCAAAAAAAAGAGCGAAAAAAAAUAGUUCCAGAGUGUGCUUUUCCCUUAUUUACGUGCAGCGCCAUGAUUUUGUUAGUGUUCUAGGCUCGCGUCUCUAGCACGGUCUAGCCUAGGACCAGCACAGUACCGUCGUUGAGCGUUUAUUCAACUUUGCAUCUCUGAAUUGAUUAUUGCUGACCCUUUUUGCUACCAUACUAUAAGCCUUCCCAGCUCCACAUACAUCUACGUCGUGCGUUUUACUCUCCCUGGCAAUUGCUCUAUCCAAGCUUUUGAGAGUUUUGACUAUAACGGUUGCCGAUCACCGCCUGCUGCUGGGUAAGAACUGGUAAGAAUUUGAGAUUUGCUUGACGGAUUUGUGACACCCGCCACCACCACCACUUGUUAGUAGUCUGUAGGAUCAUAUUCUUGUGUGUUUCUAGUGCUGCUAACCAUGCCAGGAUCACAUUCCGACGAGACUGACUGGGAGAACUUGACGAACAAGGAGCUUCAUGAUACGUUUCAGCAAAUGAUGAGUGUACAGGUGCAAGAUGUGAUAAACAGAUUUGAAGAGGCCAUGGAGAAGAUAGAUGGCAUGGAGAAGACGUUUGAAACAAAGCUCGAUAACAAGUUUGCUGAAUUGCUUUCGCGUUUUCCACCACCACCACCGGCUGCUCCUGCCGCACCUCUGCAACAACAGCAACAACACCGACUACCUCCAUGUCGGGAAACAGCCCUCCGCCUAGCGAGCCGUGUCCCUCUUCAGUCGGGCCAAACUGCUGGUGCUGCUAUUGAUACUUCUGUGGCUCCUACUGCUGAUGUGGAGGAGGAUGAUUAUGUGGGAGAUUAUGAGGAUGAGGUUGAUCAAAAUCAGAACUACGUGCCACCACCAGCACAGCAACCACCAGGUCGUCCACAUGCAAAUAAUGGCAAUGGUAGGGCUCACCCUCAGGUACGAGAUCAUGACCAUCUCCCUAAACUAAAAUUGAAUAUUCCACCAUUUGAGGGUAGAUAUGUUCCUGAUAUAUAUCUUACUUGGGAGUUAGAAACUGAACAACGAUUUACAUGUUUACAAUAUCCCGAGGAGAGACGUGUUCCUGCUGCUGUUUGUGCAUUCACUAGUUUUCCAUGUGUUUGGUGGUCUGAGCAUUGUAGAUUAUUUCCUAUUCCGGCUACUUGGGCUGCUUUGAAAACUGCUAUGCGUACUCGUUGGGUUCCACCAUAUUAUCAUCGUGAAUUAGUUCAAAAAUUGUAGCGCUUAAGACAGGGAAAAAAUUCUGUAGAAGAAUAUUAUAAGGAAUUACAAACUGGCAUGAUUAGAUGUGGUAUUGUUGAGGAGAAUGAAGCUAUGCUUGCACGUUUUAUGGGUGGAUUAAAUAGAGAUAUUCAGACGAUUCUAGAGUAUAAGGAGUAUACUAAUAUCACUCGUUUAUUCCAUCUUGCUUGUAAAGCUGAACGUGAAGUGCAGGAUCGACAGGAAUUGGCGCGGACUAACUUUUCUGCAGGUCGACCUUCAUCAUGGACACCACGUGCAUCAUCUACUUCCACACGUUCUGCUACACCGGCGCCUCCGUCGGCUGCCACCUCCAACCGUGAUACAAUAAAGCAGGCACAAUCACCACUAUCUGCCAAGAGCACACCUUCUGGGCCUGCAAAGAGCUCUUCUUCAUCCAUGGCAUCAACAGGGUAAACACAUGAUAUUAUUUGUCGACGUUGCAAGGGUGGAGGUCAUUAUGCGAGAGAAUGCCCAUCUAAGUGUGUGAUGAUUGUUACUGAGGAUGGUGGGUAUGAGUCUGCUAGUGACUAUGAUGAGGAGACUUUGGCUCUUAUUACACGUGACGAACAUGGUGGAGACGAUUCUGAUCAUGAGACGCAAUACAUGGCUGCUGAAGAUGCUGACAGGUAUGAAUGUUUAGUUGCUCAACGUGUUUUGAGUGUGCAGGUUACACAAGCUGAGAAAAAUCAGAGGCAUAAUUUGUUCCAUACAAAGGGAGUUGUGAAGGAACGUUCUGUUCGCGUGAUCAUAGAUGGAGGGAGCUGCAAUAACUUGGCUAGCAUGGAGAUGGUGGAGAAGCUAUCUCUCACCACAAGACCACAUCCACAUCCUUACUACAUCCAAUGGUUCAACAACAGCGGCAAGGUUAAGGUAACACGUACUGUUCGUGUGCAUUUUAGUAUCUCUACAUAUGCUGAUUAUGUUGAUUGUGAUGUGGUACCUAUGCAAGCAUGUUCCUUAUUACUUGGUAGACCAUGGCAAUUUGAUAAAAAUUCUGUACACCAUGGUAGAAACAAUCAGUAUACUCUUGUUCAUAACGAUAAAAAUAUUACUUUGCUUCCUAUGACUCCUGAUUCCAUUUUGAAAGAUGAUAUUAAUAGAGCUAAUAAAGCAAAACAGGAGACAAAUAAGAGUGAAAAUCAGAUUGUGGCAAAAGAAUUUGAGCACCAAAUGAAGUCUAAUAAUAAACCAUCUACUGUUGUUUCUGAAAUUAAAUUGAAAAGUGCAUGUUUACUUGCCACCAAAUCUGAUAUUGAUGAGCUAGAUUUCAGCAAAUCUGUUUGCUAUGCCUUUGUGUGCAAAGAGGCAUUAUUUUCAUUCGAGGACGUGCCUUCCUCUUUGCCCCCUACUGUCACUAACAUUUUGCAGGAGUUCGCUGACGUCUUUCCACAAGACGUGCCACCAGGAUUACCACCUAUUCAAGGGAUUGAGCAUCAAAUUGACUUAAUUCUCGGUGCUUCGCUACCUAACCGUGCACCAUACCGUACCAAUCCAGAGGAGACGAAGGAGAUUAUGCGUCAAGUACAAGAACUGCUCGACAAAGGUUAUAUACGCGAAUCCCUUAGUCCUUGUGCUGUUCCUAUCAUUUUAGUGCCGAAAAAGGAUGGUACAUCGCGUAUGUGCGUUGAUUGUAGAGGCAUAAAUAAUAUUACUAUUCGUUAUCGUCAUCCUAUUCCUAGGCUAGAUGAUAUGCUUGAUGAAUUGAGUGGCUCUACAAUAUUCUCCAAAGUUGAUUUGCGUGGUGGAUACCAUCAAAUUCGUAUGAAAUUGGGAGAUGAAUGGAAAACAACAUUUAAAACUAAGUUUGGAUUAUAUGAGUGGUUAGUCAUGCCUUUUGGGUUAACUAAUGCACCUAGUACUUUCAUGAGGUUAAUGAACGAAGUUUUACGUGCUUUCAUUGGACGAUUUGUGGUAGUUUACUUUGAUGACAUAUUGAUUUAUAGCAAAUCUUUGGAGGAACAUUUGGAACAUUUACGUGCUGUUUUUAUUGCUCUACGUGAUGCACGUUUGUUUGGAAACCUUGGAAAGUGCACCUUUUGCACCGACCGAGUAUCUUUUCUUGGCUAUGUUGUUACUCCACAAGGAAUUGAAGUUGAUAAAGCCAAGAUUGAAGCUAUUGAGAGUUGGCCGCAGCCCAAAAUGGUCACACAAGUGAGGAGUUUCCUUGGCCUCGCUGGUUUCUAUAGGCGUUUUGUGAGAGAUUUCAGCACCAUUGCUGCAACUCUCAACGAGCUUACAAACAAGGAUGUGCCUUUUGUUUGGGGUAUCGCACAGGAAGAAGCCUUCACGGUAUUGAAUGAUAAGUUGACACAUGCUCCUUUACUCCAACUUCCUAAUUUCAAUAAGACUUUUGAGCUUGAAUGUGAUGCUAGUGGAAUUGGAUUAGGAGGUGUGUUAUUACAAGAUGGAAAACCUGUUGCAUACUUUUCUGAAAAAUUGAGUGGGCCUAGUCUGAACUAUUCUACUUAUGAUAAAGAAUUAUAUGCUCUUGUUCGGACCUUAGAAACAUGGCAACAUUAUUUAUGGCGCAAGGAAUUUGUUAUACAUUCUGAUCAUGAAUCUUUGAAACACAUUAAAAGUCAAGCAAAACUGAACCGUAGACAUGCUAAAUGGGUUGAAUUCAUUGAGACUUUCCCUUAUGUCAUUAAACACAAGAAGGGUAAAGAAAAUGUUAUUGCUGAUGCCUUGUCUCGUCGUUAUACUAUGCUUUCACAACUUGACUUUAAAAUAUUUGGUUUGGAGACCAUCAAAGAUCAAUAUGUUCAUGAUGCUGAAUUUAAAGAUGUAUUGCAGAAUUGUAAGGAAGGGAGAACUUGGAACAAGUUUGUUCUUAACGAUGGAUUUGUGUUUCAUGCUAACAAGCUAUGCAUUCCAGCUAGCUCCGUUCGUCUUUUGUUGUUGCAGGAGGCGCAUGGAGGAGGAUUAAUGGGACACUUUGGUGUCAAGAAGACGGAGGAUAUACUUGCUACACAUUUCUUUUGGCCAAAGAUGAGACGGGAUGUUGAGCGUUUUGUUGCUCGCUGCACUACAUGUCAAAGAGCUAAGUCACGACUCAAUCCUCAUGGUUUAUAUAUGCCUUUGCCUGUACCUAGUGUUCCUUGGGAGGAUAUAUCUAUGGACUUUGUUUUAGGUUUACCUCGAAAAAAUAAGGGGAGGGAUAGCAUAUUUGUUGUCGUGGAUAGGUUCUCGAAAAUGGCACACUUUAUACCAUGUCAUAAAAGCGAUAUGUUGUUAAUGUUGCUGAUUUGUUCUUUCGUGAAAUUAUUCGCUUACAUGGUGUGCCAAAUACUAUUGUUUCAGAUCGUGAUACUAAAUUUCUUAGCCACUUUUGGAGAUGUUUAUGGGCUAAGUUGGGGACUAAGCUACUUUUUAGUACUACUUGUCACUCCCAAACUGAUGGACAAACUGAAGUAGUCAAUAGAACAUUGUCUACUAUGCUUAGGGCUGUUUUGAAGAAUAACAAGAAAAUGUGGGAAGAAUGCUUGCCUCAUAUUGAAUUUGCUUAUAAUCGUUCAUUGCAUUCUACUACUAAGAUGUGCCCUUUUGAAAUUGUGUAUGGUUUCCUACCUCGUGCACCUAUUGAUUUAUUGCCUCUUCCAUCUUCAGAGAAGGUUAAUUUUGAUGCUAAAGAACGUUCUGAAUUGAUUUUAAAAAUGCAUGAGUUAACUAAGGAUAACAUUGAGCGUAUGAAUGCUAAAUAUAAACUUGCUGGAGAUAAGGGUAGAAAACAUGUUGUGUUUGCGCCUGGAGAUCUUGUUUGGUUACAUUUGCCUAAAGAUAGAUUUCCUAAUCUGCGCAAAUCAAAGCUAAUGCCACGUGCUGAUGGUCCUUUUAAGGUGUUAGAGAAAAUAAAUGAUAAUGCAUAUAAACUUGAGCUACCUGUAGAUUUCGGGGUUAGUCCCACUUUUAACAUUGCAGAUUUGAAGCCUUAUUUGGGUGAGGAAGAUGCGCUUCCGUCGAGGACGACUUCAUUUCAAGAAGGGGAGGAUGAUGAGGACAUCAAUACCAUUGUUACACCCACAGCCCCUACUGUUAGAUAUACUGGACCAAUUACUAGAGCUCGCGCACGCCAAUUAAAUUACCAUGUACUUUCGUUUCUUGGUAAUGAUUCUAAUGUUCAUGAGAUUAUGAUGCUGCCUAAAUUGGAUACAUUCGUUUUGCUUACAAUUGAAGGGCUUAGCUUGGACAAGGAUGAACAUUGGAGCAAGAACACACAUGGAGUUGAUGGUAUGCGCAAGGGGAUCAAGAACGGAGUUACAAGUGAUGAUUUCAGGACUUUAAAGUCGCCAUAAGGAGUGCAUGAAGCCUUGGACGAAAUAUACAAGAUGCCACUUCAUAAUAUUCGUCCAUAGGCUAUUCUAGGUGCUGCGUCACCUUAUUAAUGGGCCAGGUCCAUGUAAUUUCGAAAUACUUAAGUAUAGGCUAUUUUUAGAGUCCGUAUGUGUGGGGAAACAAGAGUUAGG